GAGGGUAUAGCUCAGGGGUAGAAUGCCUGCUUAGCAUGCACGAGGUCCUGGGUUCAAUCCCCAGUAUCUCCA
This 72-nucleotide transfer RNA is filed under the name Camelus bactrianus (Bactrian camel). It matches the Rfam family "tRNA". Rfam says of the family: Transfer RNA (tRNA) molecules are approximately 80 nucleotides in length. Their secondary structure includes four short double-helical elements and three loops (D, anti-codon, and T loops). RNAcentral also lists the same sequence under 3 other names. Lineage: Eukaryota; Metazoa; Chordata; Mammalia; Artiodactyla; Camelidae. The record is from Rfam by way of RNAcentral.